Molecule: ribosomal RNA, 506 nt
Filed under: uncultured bacterium
Lineage: Bacteria
Description: partial 16S ribosomal RNA
Rfam family: Bacterial small subunit ribosomal RNA
Source: RNAcentral
AGUGAACGCUGGCGGUAGGCCUAACACAUGCAAGUCGAACGGCAGCACAGGAGAGCUUGCUCUCUGGGUGGCGAGUGGCGGACGGGUGAGGAAUACAUCGGAAUCUACUCUGUCGUGGGGGAUAACGUAGGGAAACUUACGCUAAUACCGCAUACGACCUACGGGUGAAAGCAGGGGAUCUUCGGACCUUGCGCGAUUGAAUGAGCCGAUGUCGGAUUAGCUAGUUGGCGGGGUAAAGGCCCACCAAGGCGACGAUCCGUAGCUGGUCUGAGGGGAUGAUCAGCCACACUGGAACUGAGACACGGUCCAGACUCCUACGGGAGGCAGCAGUGGGGAAUAUUGGACAAUGGGCGCAAGCCUGAUCCAGCCAUACCGCGUGGGUGAAGAAGGCCUUCGGGUUGUAAAGUCCUUUUGUUGGGAAAGAAAUCCAGCUGGCUAAUACCCGGUUGGGAUGACGGUACCCAAAGAAUAAGCACCGGCUAACUUCGUGCCAGCAGCCGCUGUAA